CGGGCGUGUCCCGCUGUUCCCUUCAGCAGCACCCGCAGUUCUGCCGCUCCGCUCCCCUUCCCCCGCCGGAGGUUGAACACAUAAAACACACCAUGAGAAAGCUCGAAGCUGACAUACGGAAGGCUUGGAGCAUCUUGCAUCUCUGACUGUGCUGAACUUCCUCCUGCCAGGAUUCCUCUGAAACUCUUGGGAAGUCCAGGUCCACCUUGGUUGUACGAAGUGCCAAGGCAUAGGAGAAACAGUCUAUUUGUUGGGUUAAGUCAGGCACAGUCCAUGGAAUUUGAGGUACUGCUUGAACAGCAGCAGGAUAACUCUUCAGGAAUCCUUUUAAUAAAAAGUCAGUUCAGAAGGGAAAGUGCUUUCAGAGCUUCAGAGGGAAGAAGAUGGGGAAUUCAAAAGUGAUCUCAUUAUCCUCUAUUGUGCAUUAACAAAACCCUGGCACUAGCGCAGCGAAUACAGAUGGACGUGAAAAUAAUUGCUUGGUGCAAGUCGGAUUUGGAUUUUUCCUCUCACUUUAUUAUCUGGAUGCUGAGGGGAAUAUUAGUGAGUUCUGCUGUGGGAAAGUAGGUCAACAUCAACCCUGGGACAGAGGGGAAAUGUGGUCAGAAAGUACAAGACUGACCCGCUUGUGGAUGGGCAACUGAAAGAAUGUGCUGAAAUGACAUCCAGAAUGAUUCCACAUCUCUUCCUCUGCUUGUGCCUUUGAAGAGCCUGGCAGUGAAGCAGCUGUGUAGGCAUAUGUCCUUUACAAUAAAAACGGAGGAAGAAACCCUGUAUUGAUUUAGACAAGUCAAAUGUUUCUGUUGCUGCAACUGUGCCAAUAAAAUCAAGACUAUUUCGGGA
This is a long non-coding RNA of Pezoporus flaviventris, 843 nucleotides long. RefSeq lists it as uncharacterized. Lineage: Eukaryota; Metazoa; Chordata; Aves; Psittaciformes; Psittacidae. The record is from RefSeq and is a predicted model, not a curated record. The transcript has 4 exons.